UAGAGUUUGAUCCUGGCUCAGAUUGAACGCUGGCGGCAGGCCUAACACAUGCAAGUCGAACGGUAGCACAGAGAGCUUGCUCUCGGGUGACGAGUGGCGGACGGGUGAGUAAUGUCUGGGAAACUGCCCGAUGGAGGGGGAUAACUACUGGAAACGGUAGCUAAUACCGCAUAACGUCGCAAGACCAAAGUGGGGGACCUUCGGGCCUCACACCAUCGGAUGUGCCCAGAUGGGAUUAGCUAGUAGGUGGGGUAAUGGCUCACCUAGGCGACGAUCCCUAGCUGGUCUGAGAGGAUGACCAGCCACACUGGAACUGAGACACGGUCCAGACUCCUACGGGAGGCAGCAGUGGGGAAUAUUGCACAAUGGGCGCAAGCCUGAUGCAGCCAUGCCGCGUGUAUGAAGAAGGCUUUCGG
RNAcentral lists this ribosomal RNA (416 nucleotides) under Enterobacteriaceae bacterium AE_63. RNAcentral describes it as "bacterial SSU rRNA". It matches the Rfam family "Bacterial small subunit ribosomal RNA", at positions 1 to 421 of the family's 1533-position model. The record is from RNAcentral. Lineage: Bacteria; Pseudomonadati; Pseudomonadota; Gammaproteobacteria; Enterobacterales; Enterobacteriaceae.